This 467-nucleotide ribosomal RNA is filed under the name uncultured bacterium. Its description in RNAcentral is "partial 16S ribosomal RNA". It matches the Rfam family "Bacterial small subunit ribosomal RNA", at positions 29 to 507 of the family's 1533-position model. The record is from RNAcentral.
ACGAACGCUGGCGGCGUGCUUAACACAUGCAAGUCGAACGGAAAGGCCCUGCUUUUGUGGGGUGCUCGAGUGGCGAACGGGUGAGUAACACGUGAGUAACCUGCCCUUGACUUUGGGAUAACUUCAGGAAACUGGGGCUAAUACCGGAUAGGAGCUCCUGCUGCAUGGUGGGGGUUGGAAAGUUUCGGCGGUUGGGGAUGGACUCGCGGCUUAUCAGCGUGUUGGUGGGGUAGUGGCUUACCAAGGCUUUGACGGGUAGCCGGCCUGAGAGGGCGACCGGCCACAUUGGGACUGAGAUACGGCCCAGACUCCUACGGGAGGCAGCAGUGGGGAAUAUUGCACAAUGGGCGGAAGCCUGAUGCAGCAACGCCGCGUGCGGGAUGACGGCCUUCGGGUUGUAAACCGCUUUCGCCUGUGACGAAGCGUGAGUGACGGUAAUGGGUAAAGAAGCACCGGCUAACUACGUG